AUUUUGCGUUAGGGAUUGAAACGACAUCCUUUUUUGUUUUUCACAAAAAAGAUAUAGUGAAAAGCCCGACCUUUU
RNAcentral lists this small RNA (75 nucleotides) under Polaribacter vadi. Its description in RNAcentral is "Flavo-1 RNA". It matches the Rfam family "Flavo-1 RNA". Lineage: Bacteria; Pseudomonadati; Bacteroidota; Flavobacteriia; Flavobacteriales; Flavobacteriaceae. The record is from Rfam by way of RNAcentral.